Molecule: ribosomal RNA, 421 nt
Filed under: uncultured bacterium
Lineage: Bacteria
Description: bacterial SSU rRNA
Rfam family: Bacterial small subunit ribosomal RNA
Source: RNAcentral
GGAAUAUUGGACAAUGGGCGAAAGCCUGAUCCAGCCAUGCCGCGUGUGUGAAGAAGGUCUUCGGAUUGUAAAGCACUUUAAGUUGGGAGGAAGGGUUGUAGGUUAAUACCUUGCAGCCUUGACGUUACCGACAGAAUAAGCACCGGCUAACUUCGUUCCAGCAGCCGCGGUAAUACGAAGGGUGCAAGCGUUAAUCGGAAUUACUGGGCGUAAAGCGCGCGUAGGUGGUUUGGGAAGGUGGAUGUGAAAGCCCCGGGCUCAACCUGGGAACUGCAUCCAAAACUGCCUGACUAGAGUACGGUAGAGGGUGGUGGAAUUUCCUGUGUAGCGGUGAAAUGCGUAGAUAUAGGAAGGAACACCAGUGGCGAAGGCGACCACCUGGACUGAUACUGACACUGAGGUGCGAAAGCGUGGGGAGCAA